This is a non-coding RNA of Paramisgurnus dabryanus, 473 nucleotides long. Lineage: Eukaryota; Metazoa; Chordata; Actinopteri; Cypriniformes; Cobitidae. The record is from RefSeq and is a predicted model, not a curated record.
UAAGGAUAAUGUAUUUGUUCCCUUCAGGUAUCUGCCACUGCAGCUGACGUUGAGACAACUCUCAGUCUUCCUGCAAGUCCUCGCCUGAUACCUGGCACUUCAUUGAUAUAAAUCAAGAGAGAGGAACAAAUGCCAAAAUCAUCAGACAAGAUUGUCUCUAAGAAGAAAGGUGUGAUCGUCCAGAAGUCGUCUUCUGCAGUUAAAUACACACGUGGCCAUGCUACUGAAGAAUCUCCUUGACUUUUUAAUGGAACUUCAUAUAGAUCGUGGCAGCACUGGAAUAAUGCUGCAGAGAGGAACAGCGGCUACUAAAGUGAUGAUCGUCUUUUCUGGAUCCACAAGAACUAAGAUGUAAAAACACAAACCUACCUCACAGGACAAUUUUAAGAGGUAACCUGCAAGUCUAGCUUGCAGUGGCACAUGUGCCUAUACGGUUUCAUCCUAAAUGUUUUUUAUGCUUAUUAUUGAUACAU